Molecule: non-coding RNA, 7755 nt
Organism: Pantherophis guttatus
Lineage: Eukaryota; Metazoa; Chordata; Lepidosauria; Squamata; Colubridae
Source: RefSeq, a predicted model, not a curated record
UUGUAGAUAGGGUGCUCAACUUCUAUUGGGUCAAAUGUUAUCCAGGCUUUGCAUGGCAUGCCAAAAGGCAUACUCCAAAAAUAGGCGCAAGGGGCUAUGCUAUCUGGAAAACGGGGUUGAGGAAUUGGAACAAGUGCCAUAAUCCUCUAUAAGACUUGUACCCAUUUGAACUCCCCUUUUCCCCAAAUCACAGGUUUCCUUGGCAAAGAAGCCCUACUUUCUUGGCAAAACACAAAGGGAUGCUAGAUGGCUAACUGGGCCUUUCAUACCUGUUGUAAACGCUGGUUUUCUCCACAUCUGAAGAUUAGCCCUCAUUUAGGUGGAAAAACUUCAAAAAGAGUAAACACCCUGAACUGCCUUAAUAGUCAAAACUGAGGUCUUUGGCUUGUCACUCAGUUAUGUUUCCGACACUAAUAUUUUCCUAAGCAAUUGGCCUGGAGUUUUACAGGUAGUUCUCAACUUAACGACCACAAUUGAGCCCAAAAUUUAGGUUGCUAAAUGAAUUUGUUGAGUUUUGCCCAUUGUAUGACUUUUCUUGCCACAGUUGUUAAGUGAAUCUGGUUUCUCCAUUGACUUUGCUUGUCAGAAGGUUGCAAAAGGGAAUCCCGUGACUCCAGAACACUGCAACCGUCAUAAAUGCGAGUCAGUUGUCAAGCAUAUGAAUGUGAAUCAUGUGACCAUGGGAAUUGCUGCAACGAUCGAUCACCAUCUCACAAAAGGACAGAUCUUUUCAUCAGAUGACACUAUUUCAAUCAUGGAGUAUUAGAGGCAUUUUAACACUCUGGAAUUUUGGGACUGUAAUUAAUUUGGGCAUUUUAUGUCAGUUACCUUUUGUAACUAUUUACUCUAGUAAUUUUUCUACAGAACAUAACCUACGUUCCCUCUGCAGCUAAAAGGGAAGUAUCUUGCUUUGUCUUUCCAAUAUCAACUUUUCUCAACUUAUUUUUCUCUUUUCUUAGUAUUUAAUAUAUUUGCCAAGGUAGUCUUCCCUUGGCUUGUAGCUGUCAUCCCAUCCUUUCCAUAGCAACUUUGUAAAUCAAAGGAUUGGUUUGGCUCUGAGAGGGAAAGGGGCACUUAGGAACACCUUGAGGUAUUUUUUGGUCAAUUUCAUUAACGGAAAUAAAACACUUUGUAAAUGCAUACUCCUAGAUAACUAGGAUCCAUCAAAUGCCUUUUAACCACUACAGAUAGUUUUUGACCUACCAUUUGUUUAGUAACCAAAGUUAUAAUAGCAAUGAAAAAAGUGACAUGACUGGUCCUUGCAUGUACAACCAUUAUGGCAUUCUCAGCCAAAUGACCAAAGUUCAGGCAUUUGGCAGUGCCAUGUAUUUAUGGGUGCAGUGUCCUGGGGUCAUGCAAUCACCAUUUGCUACUUUUGCUGGCUUUCAACGAGCAAAGUCAAUGGGAGAGCCUGGAUUCACUUUUAAAGACUGCAUGAUUCACUUAAUUGCAGUGAUUUGCUUAAAAACUGGCAAAAGUCAAAAACACAUAACUCAUUUAUCAACCUUGCAUCUACAGUAGAGGAUUCCAUAAUGGAUUGUGUACACAACAUUCUGAAACAUUGUUUUGGCAUCCAUGUUUAUAAAACAAUACGAAUUGAAAAUUGGAUUUUGUGGGAUGAACAUUAGGACAACUUCUGCUUGCAAGUUAAUAAUGCCAAAAUCAUGUACUGAAGCAACUUUGAGGAAGAAAAACAUAUUAGUCUAUGAUAGCCAAAACUCAGGAGUCUGAUAGCACUUUUUCAGGCUAACAUUUAAAAAGGCACAAAAAAGCUUGUGCCUUUUUUUAUAAAAGAUGCUACUAGACAUCUGAUUUAAGGCAAUUUGCUAAUCUUAAAAGAGUGUUUCAGCUUUUCAAAGAUUGAACUAUGCUAACUGCUGAGAUAUGAUGAGGUCCUAGAACAGAUUUCUUCAAUCUUGGCAGCUUUAAGACUUGUGGACUUCAAUAGCUAUUCAAGCAUAGCUGGCUGGAGAAUUCUGGGAGUUGAAGUCCACAAGUAUUAAAGCUGCUAAGUUUGAAGAACUCUGUCCUAGAACAACACAGGUUCUUUCUACCUUUUCUGUAGCCUUUAAAAACAAAUCUUUUAAACUCUUCGCCUCCAUUUUUUUUUAUGGCUGGUAUACAGUGGUAAUGACCCUAGCAAGUGCUUUGAAAAGGAAUAGCAUAGAUUUAAAAAUGGAUGACAAAAAAAUCAAAAGAAAAUGGGAAACCCAUUUAGAGCUUAUAAUUUUGAAUACAAGCAACAUUCAUUUCUUACACCUCCCGGCAAUAUAGUCUUAACUAGGAUGUAGCAGAAUUCAUUUUUUAUUUUUUAAUUCAACAUUCUGGAAAUGUGUAGAAAGGGAUGUACAACUAAUUUACAAUAGGCUUCUUCAUAUUUGCUCUGGACAGUGGAAAUUGUAGUCCAAUACGUUGGGAACAUUUUAAAGCCGUAAAAUGAGCAAGUGCCUUAUAUAUUGUAUGCAAGGUAAUUUGGCUUGAAGUACCGAAGUAAGCAAAGGGUUGAGGAUUACAAAUAGUCCUUACAAAUACUGUUGGGAUUAUAAUUCAUCCGUCACAACUGGCCACAUCAGUGAAGUCUGAUGGGACUGUUAAAUUUUAGAAGGAUGGAUGUUUGGAUAAGGAAUAAAUUCUAGGUACCGUUUUCAUCAAACCCUGUUUUUCUCCUAAUGAAAUGAAAAAUAUUUCUGGGUGAUUUGAAUGGUGUUCAGUUCAGCUGUACGGUAUGGAAUCUGAACUCUUAACAUUUGAGUGGUUCCGAGCCCCUAGAGAGAUGCUUUUGUGGGGGUCAACUGGCUGCAUUCCAUCCCCCCAGUUUCUACCUCAACUUGUUCAGUUCAGCCAUUGGCACUUUCUGGCUGCUUGUUGCGUGGAACAAGGAAGACACCACCAUCGAUAGUGAGCUGCAGCACAUAUUCAUCAGGGGAAUAGGCAUUGCCAGCUUCAUCCCGUAACAUGCAAAAGACUUGGUGGUAGAGGGCUCCCAGCUUCUGCUUCGUCAGUGUCAGACUCCUGUUAAACUCUCCGCGGUCCUGUAACAAGCGCUGUCGCUCACGACUUAGUUCAUCCAGCUCCUGCUCCAGGUGCACCAAUGUCUCCAGUUUGCGCUUGCGACAAUUUUGAGCUGCCACUUUAUUCUUACCGCGGCGGCGGAUGUCCCGGAUUAGUGCCAGCUGAGGCUCAUUCAGCGGGAAACGUGACAGCAGCUCAUUGAAGUCAUCCACUGGCAGGUUGAUGAUCUUUUCCACAGGGAAGGGGAUUUUCAUGGCGAGAGCCCGACGUUCAUCCCUGUUGCCCACUAACUCUCCCCGUGGGCUCUGCCCUUUUUCCAAAGAAUGCUCUGGGUGAUGCUCAGGGAAGGGCAUCUCUGGGACAGGAGCCAAUGGAGGGUAUGCUGGAACGUGGUCCAAGGGAUACAAAGAUGGAUAUUCUGCCCGCUCCAGUCCCUCAGCUUCCAGGGACUCUGCAUCACUGUAAUUAAGGGAUAAUCCAGAGUCUGAUUCCAGAUCUUCUUGGAGCUUGCAAGGCCCCUGUGGUCCAUAGCCAUUCGUUAGCUCCCUCCCCAACAUCAUCCCUGGCAUCCCUUUAUAUCCGCCCAGCAUAGCAGAUCCUGGAGGCUCCAGGGAGGAAGAGAUCAGCAUGCCGGUGUAACUGUAAAGUGUACAAGAAGCAGGCAGAUUUUCUGGGUAGGAAUGGUCAUAGGCUGCAGUAGUAGGGUGAUUGUAAUUGGAAACAGAACCCUCGCCCAUCCCUGCACAUGGCCCGUAGCUAGGGGAUGGUACCAUCUGUUGGGAAUGACCACAUAAAGCUGGAUCGUAGCAACUCUCGGCUGGCAUAUCAAGACCCUGCAGGAAGGGGGGAAAAAAGUUGAGACAGUUCCUCGCUUCCUUCCCCCUCACCCCUCAAGCAAAGAAUGCGGAAAAUGCACAAGUGAGGCUGAUAGGAUUGCAGUCAAACUCAAGGAAUUUUUGAUGGCUUGCCCAGGUUCUUUUCUGACAUUCAAUCUUAUAUAUGCUAGUCCAGUCUCAACAUUCUUUUUUUUUCCCCACUCUCACUAAAUUGCAAAUGUUCCCAAUACCUUUUUCCAACAGAAAUAUUUAAAAACUUUCAGGUUUUUCUAGAAAUUUGCCUUGUCUGUUUAGCUCUUGACUUAACUAUAUCAUUGUAACAUAAAUGUAGCUACCCAAACCUAGCAUCUAUUUCUUCCUAUGUCUAUGUAAGAACCUAUGUAAUGUUCUUAUUGCUGAAAGGUGGUGGUGGUGGGGGUGCAAAGAAAAGGGACACUCAAAAGGACUGUGCAGGUGCUGAGCCCCUUAAGAUGGGUUGAUAACAUUCCCCCCAAGAACAAAAGAAUGAUUCAUCCCAUCGGACAGAUCCCCUAUUGUACAUGGUUUCCCCCACCUCACUUCUCCCCAGGGUUUGCUAUUGAAUGGGAGCAGUGUUGGGAGAUUCAAGAUUUAAAAGGCAGAUGGAUGUAAUGGAUACCUGCCACCCUGCAACUUAGAUUCAGUACACUCCUCUGUAGAGGGACUAACCCCCACAAAUGCAUAUUUUGUAGCUGUGGGAUGGGCUCCACCCAUUCCAUGUACAAAGUACUUCAACAGUAUACUGAUCAGCCAACCUGGCAGCAACUAUCGUGAACUAAACAGAUAUGUUUUCAGUUCUUUGAGUUGUCUCACGAAAUAAUUACUGUAAACAUAUCUUGGGACUGUAACUGAAUAGUGAAGCACCAUACUGGAAAUAUUCAGAGGCUCCGUCAUUAGCUCUCUGCUAUGAAAAAGAAAUAUGGAAGGUGGUUGUUAUGGAAAAAUUGAAGCAUAAAGGAUGAGAAAUGUUGGUUUCUAUAGUAGAAAAGUUACCUUUGAUUUAAUUUGGAAAACACUUAUCCUUUUUGCAAAACAUCACAGGUCAAAUCCACCAACAAUUGUUUGCCCUAGUAUAUACAAGGCAGCCAGUUUGUUUGUGCUUAAGAAACCUUAGAGACCAAGAGACUAUGAGUUCUAAUCCUGCCUUAGGCACAAAACAGCUGGGUGACCUUGGACCUACCACUCACUCACUCUCUGCCCUGGGAAGGAGGCAGUGGCAAACCACUUCUGAAAAACGUUAGCAAAAAAGCUGCAGGCAAACUCCAAGAAUAGGACAUGAACGAAAUGAAGAAAAUGAACAGGAUAUACAAAAGUUGCAGGGUGGAUAAAAAUCAAUGAUUUUUUUAAAAAAAUCAAAAAAAUCAGAUUUUUUUUAUUUAAAUCGGAUUUUUUUUAUUUUUAUCGAAUUUAUUUUAAUAAAAAAACUUUUGGGGUAAAAAUCUAUCGUAAGAUAGUUUUCUAUUUAAGAUACAUAAAUAAUUUAGUUUAUUCAGCAUGAAAUGGAGCUUAGUUAUGUAGCAUGAGGCUGUAUAUUCUGCAACACUGGGACUAUCGGUGAGUCAACAGUGGGUCAAAGGAGUAGCAGAGAUGACAGUUGCUCUCUAAAAAUUAUGAUUUAAAUCGAGUUGAUUUAAAUCAAGCCUUUUUACUAGUGAUUUAAAUUGUGAUUUAAAUCAAAUCCACCCUGUUCCCCUGUGAUAUUUUUACAUUUUAAUUGCUGUUUUUAUUCUAGGUUCGUGAUGGCGAACCUAUGGCACGCGUGCCACAGGUGGCAUGCGGAGCCAUAUUGGUGGGCACGUGAGUUCAGCUCCGGCACACAUGCGCACACUGGCCAGCUGAUUUUCAGGCCUUCUGGGCCCACUGGAAGUUGGCAUACAAGCCAUUUCUGGCCUCCAGAGGGUCUCCAGGGGAGUGGGGAAGGCUAUUUUCACCCUCCCCAGGCUCCUAGAAAGGCUCUGGAGCUUGGGGAGGGCGAAAAAUGGGCCUACCGGGCCCACCAUGCCAUCACAUGCCAAAAGCAAGGGAAGCGCAGGGGGGGUCACGCACACAUGUGCGGGGGUGGGGUGCAUAGAAUUAUGGGUGUGAGCACACACAUGCGCGACCCCCCCGCGCUUCUCCCGCUUUUGGCACACAAUGGCAUAAAGGUUAGCCAUCAUUGUUCUAGGUUGUUUUUAAUAUCUUAAAUACUAUUUUUAAUAAUGUUUUAUUAUCUGUUGCCAAGUCAUACAUUCUUUACCCUGUAACUGUGAUUUGCUUUAUUUUCUAAGUAAAAUAAAGAUUUUAAAAAAGACAGUACAAUAUUCUGCAUAUUACAUUCCACACUCAAAGCUUGAAAACGUGGCUAUUCCCUCAGGGCUGGGAAUCAGAAUGUGUUAAGGGCCCUGUUUCUUGGCUGUAGUGUUAAUUGAGUACUUAUUUGGCUGCUACUGAUAUUUAUUUUCUGGAUGUUUUUACUCUCUUGUUUUUAAUUGUUUUAUAAAUUUAGAAUUGUAAACCGCCCAGAGUCACUUGGUUAAGUUAAAUUGAAGGAAGGAAUGAAGGAAUAUCAACCUGGAAAUGAAGGCCAUUGACUUAAGUUAUUCCCAAGAAAAUGUGGGGAAGAUAGUUUAAAACCAUCUGGAGGUUUCCUUAAUGCUGUCAUCAUAUCUACAAAAUGUAUACUGCACCUGCCCUGGAUGAAACAAAAGGACUCAUCUUUAUAAGGCCUCUGAGACAUGUUGAAGGAGCUGCUGAUUCAGUUCUACGGAGGAAUUAUUGAGUCUGUCAUCUGCACCUCUAUAACUGUCUGGUUUGGCUCUUCAAUCCAACAAGACAGACACAGACUUCAGAGGAUAAUUAGAACUGCAGAAAAAACAAUUGCUACCAACCUGUCUUCCAUUGAGGACCUGUAUACUGCACGAGUCAAAAAGAGGGCUGUGAAAAUAUUUACAGACCCCUCGCAUCCUGGACAUAAACUGUUUCAACUCCUACCCUCAAAACGACGCUAUAGAGCACUGCACACCAAGACAACUACACAAGAACAGUUUUUCCCCGAACGCCAUCACUCUGCUAAACAAAUAAUUCCCUCAACACUGUCAAACUAGUUACUAAGUCUGCAUUACUAUUAAUCUUCUCAUCGUUCCCACCAUGCAUCUCCUUCCACUUAUGAUUGUAUGCUGUAAUUUUGUUGCUUGUAUCCUUUCGAUUUAUAUUGAUAUUGUUUCGUAAUUGCUUAUUUGUACCCUAUGACUAUCAUUAAGUGUUGUACCUUAUGAUUCUUUACGAACGUAUCUUUUCUUUUAUGUACACUCAGAGCGUAUGCCCCAAGACAAAUUCCUUGUGUGUCCAAUCACACUUUGGCCAAUAAAAAAUUCUAUUCUAUUCUAUUAACCAACUAAACAAACUAAUACACAAUCAGAGCCUGAAUGGUAUAAAUCCUGCAGCCAAUAUAACUGAGCAGAGCAUUGAGUACAACUAUAACAUGGCAGUGGACACUAUGUUGGAUUUUCAGUGAACCACACAGCAUGGCUUUCUUGGGUACUGGAAGGGCUGCUCAAGGCCACUUUUGAAGCAGGUUAAACUACUCAGCAGCCUGCUCUUUUUUAUGUAUUUAUUAUAUUAUAUUUAUAUACUAUUUUUCCUCCAGGUGUUCAGGGGAGUAUACAAGGUGCCCUGACCUCCAGUGUUUUUCACACAACCCAAUGAAGUAGACCAGACUAAAUGAAAAUGGCUGCUUCAAAGUCACCCAGACCAGGGGUGAAAUGCUCCCGGUUCAGACCGAUGGCCCGAUCCUGUAGCGAUGGCGGCGGGUGGUUCGGAGAACCGGUAGCAAAAAUCCCUGCGCCCUCCCUUCCCACCAUGCCCAGCUGAGCCGCACGAACAUCAGAGGCUUUUUCUUUUUUUACUUUUA